AUUGAACGCUGGCGGCAGGCCUAACACAUGCAAGUCGAGCGGCUGAAGGGAGCUUGCUCCUGGAUUCAGCGGCGGACGGGUGAGUAAUGCCUAGGAAUCUGCCUGGUAGUGGGGGAGAACGUCCGGAAACGGGCGCUAAUACGGCAUAAGUCCUGAGGGAGAAAGUGGGGGAGCUUCGGACCUCACGCCAUCAGAUGAGCCUAGGUCGGAUUAGCUAGUUGGUGGGGUAAAGGCCUACCAAGGCGACGAUCCGUAACUGGUCUGAGAGGAUGAUCAGUCACACUGGAACUGAGACACGGUCCAGACUCCUACGGGAGGCAGCAGUGGGGAAUAUUGGACAAUGGGCGAAAGCCUGAUCCAGCCAUGCCGCGUGUGUGAAGAAGGUCUUCGGAUUGUAAAGCACUUUAAGUUGGGAGGAAGGGCAGUAAGUUAAUACCUUGCUGUUUUGACGUUACCAACAGAAUAAGCACCGGCUAACUUCGUG
RNAcentral lists this ribosomal RNA (484 nucleotides) under uncultured bacterium. Its description in RNAcentral is "partial 16S ribosomal RNA". It matches the Rfam family "Bacterial small subunit ribosomal RNA", at positions 30 to 507 of the family's 1533-position model. The record is from RNAcentral.